This 232-nucleotide ribosomal RNA is filed under the name uncultured bacterium. RNAcentral's name for it is "partial 16S ribosomal RNA". It matches the Rfam family "Bacterial small subunit ribosomal RNA", at positions 1271 to 1500 of the family's 1533-position model. The record is from RNAcentral.
AUCCCUGAAAACCGGUCUCAGUUCGGAUCGCAGUCUGCAACUCGACUGCGUGAAGGUGGAGUCGCUAGUAAUCGCGGAUCAGCAACGCCGCGGUGAAUGCGUUCCCGGGCCUUGUACACACCGCCCGUCAAGUCAUGAAAGUGGGCAGCACCCGAAGACGGUGGCCUAACCCUUGUGGGGGGAGCCGUCUAAGGUGAGGCUCGUGAUUGGGACUAAGUCGUAACAAGGUAUC